This 79-nucleotide transfer RNA is filed under the name Actinomycetes bacterium. RNAcentral's name for it is "Actinobacteria bacterium tRNA-Arg". The stretch from base 11 to 71 matches the Rfam family "tRNA", at positions 9 to 63 of the family's 71-position model. From Rfam's summary of the family: Transfer RNA (tRNA) molecules are approximately 80 nucleotides in length. Their secondary structure includes four short double-helical elements and three loops (D, anti-codon, and T loops). Lineage: Bacteria; Bacillati; Actinomycetota; Actinomycetes. The record is from RNAcentral.
GGCUCUGUAAAGCCAAAUCUCGCGCUACGGCGUCGGUCUACGGAACCGAAGGUCACAGGUUCGAAUCCUGUCGGGCGCG